Molecule: ribosomal RNA, 432 nt
Filed under: Triticum aestivum (bread wheat)
Lineage: Eukaryota; Viridiplantae; Streptophyta; Magnoliopsida; Poales; Poaceae
Description: partial small subunit ribosomal RNA
Source: RNAcentral
AUGCCUCCUAUUUAUGAUGAUUAUAUUGAUGAAAGUGGGUUUGGAAGAGUAUCAACUUUAGGUAGUAUUGAUCCCACUAUUUUGAAGGAUAUUGAAUUUUAUUGUGAUGAAUAUGAAAGUGGAUUUGGAAGAGUGUCAAUUUUAUUUAGUGAUGAUUUCACUAUUUCGGAAGAGGUUCCAAUUGAUUAUGAGAACAAAGUUGCUAUUUAUAAUGAUUAUUGUGAUGACUUGUAUGCUAUUAAGAAUAAUGAUAACCAUGAAACUUGUCAUCAUGAUUUUAGUUUUCAAUUGGAUUAUGCCUCACAUGAUAAUUAUUUUGUUGAGUUUGCUCCCACCAUUCCGAAUGAGAAGAAUUUUGCUUAUGUGGAGAGUAGUAAAUUUUUUAUGCUUGUAGAUCAUGAAAAGAACUUUAUGUGCUGGUUAUAUUGUUGA